AAUACCGGAUAAUCUUGAGGUCUGGCAUCAGACUUUAAGGAAAGAUGGCCUCUGAAGAUGCUAUCGAUUAUGGAUGGACCCGCGUCUGAUUAGCUAGUUGGUGGGGUAAAGGCCUACCAAGGCGACGAUCAGUAGCCGGCCUGAGAGGGUGAACGGCCACACUGGGACUGAGACACGGCCCAGACUCCUACGGGAGGCAGCAGUGGGGAAUCUUCCGCAAUGGACGAAAGUCUGACGGAGCAACGCCGCGUGUAUGAUGAAGGUCUUCGGAUUGUAAAGUACUGUCUUUGGGGAAGAACGAUCUCUUUGAAAAUAUUGAGGGGAUAUGACGGUACCCAAAGAGGAAGCCCCGGCUAACUACGUGCCAGCAGCCGCCGUAACAC
This 383-nucleotide ribosomal RNA is filed under the name uncultured bacterium. RNAcentral describes it as "bacterial SSU rRNA". It matches the Rfam family "Bacterial small subunit ribosomal RNA", at positions 165 to 526 of the family's 1533-position model. The record is from RNAcentral.